CCUACGGGAGGCAGCAGUGGGGGAUAUUGCACAAUGGGGGGAACCCUGAUGCAGCGACGCCGCGUGAAGGAAGAAGUAUCUCGGUAUGUAAACUUCUAUCAGCAGGGAAGAAAAUGACGGUACCUGACUGAGAAGCCCCGGCUAACUACGUGCCAGCAGCCGCGGGAAUACGGAGGGGGGAAGCGUUAUCCGGGGUUAAUGGGUGGAAAGGGAGCGUAGGCGGCAGUGCAAGUCAGAAGUGAAAGCCCGGGGCUCAACGCCGGGACUGCUAUUGAAACUGUACAGCUUGUUUGCAGGAGAGGCAAGUGGAAUGCCUAGUGUAGCGGUGAAAUGCGUAGAUAUUAGGAGGAACACCAGUGGCGAAGGCGGCUUGCUGGACUGUAAAUGACGCUGAGGCUCGAAAGCGUGGGGAGCAAACAGGAUUAGAUACCCCGGUAGUC
Molecule: ribosomal RNA, 440 nt
Filed under: uncultured bacterium
Lineage: Bacteria
Description: partial 16S ribosomal RNA
Rfam family: Bacterial small subunit ribosomal RNA
Source: RNAcentral